CCGCGAGACGCUGAUGUCGUGCCGUGGCAAUAGAUUUAACCGAUUAUAAAGGUAUUCCUAAUUCUAGUGAUGUUAUACGGAACGGAACACUAGUGAUGUUAUACGAAAAAAUAUUCGACGUGUGUAGAAACUGCUGUCCAUUUUGCCGAAAAUGUCAUCCAUUGUUACCUUACCUACCAUAGUAUAUGGCUUUAUUUACCGUACGACAACGUCUCAUCUCGUGCAGAAACACUUUAAGAGCUGCUUGCAGCCAGCUGGUAAAAGGUGUGAUUGAGUCAAGUUGAGCUGCAGGUGCUGCUGCUGCACGCAGUUUAUCAAGCUGGUGUUAUCCCAAAGUGUCACUGCAGGAAGACAUCUUGAAUUGGAGUUCAUGGUCAGUUUGAUGCUGUUUGGAGUACAGAGAUACAGUGGUUUUGCAGUCCCUUUCUAGUUGAGAGAUGCUCUGAAAUGGAGCUUGUGCAGACUUGCAGUUCAACAUCACACUUAAAUGUGUCAUUUGUCUAUGUUAGUGUCUAUGAAGUGUUGAACAGUUGGGUAACAUAGUCAUUGUUUCCUGAUGGCUGUCGGGCUUAUUUUAUCGGCUCCGUUUUGUCGUUAUGCCGUCUCUUGCUACCGGCGUUGAGUUCAAUCGUUUGCUGCCGAACCCAUAGAUACGAUCCAUUGGUGAAACUGAGGUGCUGAAAUUCAAGACUCGUCAAUACAUUUUUUAGAUGUAGGUCAAUUACAAGUGCAUAUCUGGGCCCUUCUUCAGUGGCCCCGUUUCCCUAACUAACCAACGCCCGCCGGUGGGCACUCACUCGCGGCGACAACCAGGAGGAAGGAAGUGGACUGGUCGAACGGGGACUUGCAAGGUGUAUGAUUCGAUGAAAUCUGUUGGGAGGGUCAUGAGUUUAAGCCGGAAGCCUACUAAGAUUAAUUGCUCUUGUAAUAACUGUUCCUCGGCUCUCUUCGCUCUUUUUUCGGUUUCUCUUAACCACGGCCGGGCAAUCUUCCUGGGCCAGUCAAUCGAGGCAGCGUCUCCCCCUGCUUUGAUUAGCUGCGUCUUGAACCGAACGGUUUGUUUAGUAAAUAAAAUUGAAUAUGGAAAAUAAAAU
Molecule: long non-coding RNA, 1094 nt
Organism: Daphnia pulicaria
Lineage: Eukaryota; Metazoa; Arthropoda; Branchiopoda; Diplostraca; Daphniidae
Exons: 4
Source: RefSeq, a predicted model, not a curated record